This 240-nucleotide ribosomal RNA is filed under the name uncultured Streptococcus sp. RNAcentral's name for it is "partial 16S ribosomal RNA". It matches the Rfam family "Bacterial small subunit ribosomal RNA", at positions 1144 to 1382 of the family's 1533-position model. Lineage: Bacteria; Bacillati; Bacillota; Bacilli; Lactobacillales; Streptococcaceae. The record is from RNAcentral.
CGAGACUGCCGGUAAUAAACCGGAGGAAGGUGGGGAUGACGUCAAAUCAUCAUGCCCCUUAUGACCUGGGCUACACACGUGCUACAAUGGUUGGUACAACGAGUUGCGAGUCGGUGACGGCGAGCUAAUCUCCUUAAAGCCAAUCUCAGUUCGGAUUGUAGGCUGCAACUCGCCUACAUGAAGUCGGAAUCGCUAGUAAUCGUGGAUCAGAAUGUCACGGUGAAUACGUUCCCGGGUCUU